RNAcentral lists this unclassified non-coding RNA (40 nucleotides) under Cladosporium cladosporioides. RNAcentral describes it as "partial 28S ribosomal RNA". Lineage: Eukaryota; Fungi; Ascomycota; Dothideomycetes; Cladosporiales; Cladosporiaceae. The record is from RNAcentral.
GGUUGACCUCGGAUCAGGUAGGGAUACCCGCUGAACUUAG